GGAAUUGACGGGGACCCGCACAAGCGGUGGAGCAUGUGGUUUAAUUCGAAGCAACGCGAAGAACCUUACCAAGUCUUGACAUCGGAAUGACCGGUCCGUAACGGGGCCUUCCCUACGGGGCAUUCCAGACAGGUGGUGCAUGGUUGUCGUCAGCUCGUGUCGUGAGAUGUUGGGUUAAGUCCCGCAACGAGCGCAACCCUUAUCCUUAGUAGCCAGCAGUUCGGCUGGGCACUCUGGGGAGACUGCCAGGGAUAACCUGGAGGAAGGUGGGGAUGACGUCAAAUCAUCAUGCCCCUUAUGAUUUGGGCUACACACGUGCUACAAUGGCGUAAACAAAGGGAAGCGAAGGAGUGAUCCGGAGCAAAUCUCAAAAAUAACGUCUCAGUUCGGAUUGUAGUCUGCAACUCGACUACAUGAAGCUGGAAUCGCUAGUAAUCGCGGAUCAGAAUGCCGCGGUGAAUACGUUCCCGGGUCUUGUACACACCGCCCGUCACACCAUGGGAGUUGGUAACGCCCGAAGUCAGUGACCCAACCGUAAGGAGGGAGCUGCCGAAGGCGGGACUGAUAACUGGGGUGAAGUCGUAACAAGGUAGCCGUAUCGGAAGGUGCGGCUGGAUCACCUCCUUUCUG
This 630-nucleotide ribosomal RNA is filed under the name uncultured Lachnospiraceae bacterium. RNAcentral's name for it is "bacterial SSU rRNA". It matches the Rfam family "Bacterial small subunit ribosomal RNA", at positions 906 to 1533 of the family's 1533-position model. The record is from RNAcentral. Lineage: Bacteria; Bacillati; Bacillota; Clostridia; Lachnospirales; Lachnospiraceae.